GGGAAUAAAGUGUGGGACGUGUCCUAUUUUGUAUGUACCUUAUGAAUAAGGAUCGGCUAACUCCGUGCCAGCAGCCGCGGUAAUACGGAGGAUCCGAGCGUUAUCCGGAUUUAUUGGGUUUAAAGGGUGCGUAGGCGGCCUUUUAAGUCAGCGGUGAAAGUCUGUGGCUCAACCAUAGAAUUGCCGUUGAAACUGGGGGGCUUGAGUAUGUUUGAGGCAGGCGGAAUGCGUGGUGUAGCGGUGAAAUGCUUAGAUAUCACGCAGAACCCCGAUUGCGAAGGCAGCCUGCCAAGCCAUGACUGACGCUGAUGCACGAAAGCGUGGGGAUCAAACAGGAUUAGAUACCCUGGUAGUCCACGCAGUAAACGAUGAUCACUAGCUGUUUGCGAUACAGUGUAA
RNAcentral lists this ribosomal RNA (399 nucleotides) under uncultured bacterium. RNAcentral describes it as "bacterial SSU rRNA". It matches the Rfam family "Bacterial small subunit ribosomal RNA", at positions 442 to 842 of the family's 1533-position model. The record is from RNAcentral.